GAUGAAGAACGCAGCGAAAUGCGAUAAGUAAUGUGAAUUGCAGAAUUCAGUGAAUCAUCGAAUCUUUGAACGCACAUUGCGCCCGCCAGUAUUCUGGCGGGCAUGCCUGUCUGAGCGUCAUUUCAACCCUCAUGCCCCUAGGGCGUGGUGUUGGGGAUCGGCCAAAGCCCGCGAGGGACGGCCGGCCCCUAAAUCUAGUGGCGGACCCGUCGUGGCCUCCUCUGCGAAGUAGUGAUAUUCCGCAUCGGAGAGUGACGAGCCCCUGCCGUUAAACCCCCAACUUUCCAAGGUUGACCUCAGAUCAGGUAGGAAUACCCGCUGAACUUAAGCAUAUCAAUAAGCGGAGGA
RNAcentral lists this unclassified non-coding RNA (348 nucleotides) under soil metagenome. RNAcentral describes it as "partial contains 5.8S ribosomal RNA, internal transcribed spacer 2, and large subunit ribosomal RNA". The stretch from base 1 to 120 matches the Rfam family "5.8S ribosomal RNA", at positions 35 to 154 of the family's 154-position model. The record is from RNAcentral.